This 756-nucleotide ribosomal RNA is filed under the name Flavobacterium sp. RNAcentral's name for it is "bacterial SSU rRNA". It matches the Rfam family "Bacterial small subunit ribosomal RNA", at positions 90 to 849 of the family's 1533-position model. The record is from RNAcentral. Lineage: Bacteria; Pseudomonadati; Bacteroidota; Flavobacteriia; Flavobacteriales; Flavobacteriaceae.
AGAGACCGGCGCACGGGUGCGUAACGCGUAUGCAAUCUACCUUUUACAGAGGGAUAGCCCAGAGAAAUUUGGAUUAAUACCUCAUAGUAUUAUUGAGUGGCAUCACUUAAUAAUUAAAGUCACAACGGUAAAAGAUGAGCAUGCGUCCCAUUAGCUAGUUGGUAAGGUAACGGCUUACCAAGGCAACGAUGGGUAGGGGUCCUGAGAGGGAGAUCCCCCACACUGGUACUGAGACACGGACCAGACUCCUACGGGAGGCAGCAGUGAGGAAUAUUGGACAAUGGGCGCAAGCCUGAUCCAGCCAUGCCGCGUGCAGGAUGACGGUCCUAUGGAUUGUAAACUGCUUUUGUACGAGAAGAAACACUGCUUCGUGAAGCAGCUUGACGGUAUCGUAAGAAUAAGGAUCGGCUAACUCCGUGCCAGCAGCCGCGGUAAUACGGAGGAUCCAAGCGUUAUCCGGAAUCAUUGGGUUUAAAGGGUCCGUAGGCGGUUUAGUAAGUCAGUGGUGAAAGCCCAUCGCUCAACGGUGGAACGGCCAUUGAUACUGCUGAACUUGAAUUAUUAGGAAGUAACUAGAAUAUGUAGUGUAGCGGUGAAAUGCUUAGAGAUUACAUGGAAUACCAAUUGCGAAGGCAGGUUACUACUAAUUGAUUGACGCUGAUGGACGAAAGCGUGGGGAGCGAACAGGAUUAGAUACCCUGGUAGUCCACGCCGUAAACGAUGGAUACUAGCUGUUGGGCGCAAGUUCAGUGGCUA